CUACGGGCCGCUGCAGUGGGGAAUCUUAGACAAUGGGGGAAACCCUGAUCUAGCCAUGCCGCGUGAGUGACGAAGGCCUUAGGGUCGUAAAGCUCUUUCGCUGGGGAAGAUAAUGACUGUACCCAGUAAAGAAACCCCGGCUAACUCCGUGCCAGCAGCCGCGGUAAUACGGAGGGGGUUAGCGUUGUUCGGAAUUACUGGGCGUAAAGCGCGCGUAGGCGGACUGGAAAGUUGGGGGUGAAAUCCCGGGGCUCAACCCCGGAACGGCCUCCAAAACUAUCAGUCUAGAGUUCGAGAGAGGUGAGUGGAAUUCCGAGUGUAGAGGUGAAAUUCGUAGAUAUUCGGAGGAACACCAGUGGCGAAGGCGGCUCACUGGCUCGAUACUGACGCUGAGGUGCGAAAGCGUGGGGAGCAAACAGGAUUAGAUACCCGCGUAGUC
Molecule: ribosomal RNA, 439 nt
Filed under: uncultured bacterium
Lineage: Bacteria
Description: partial 16S ribosomal RNA
Rfam family: Bacterial small subunit ribosomal RNA
Source: RNAcentral